This 486-nucleotide ribosomal RNA is filed under the name uncultured bacterium. Its description in RNAcentral is "partial 16S ribosomal RNA". It matches the Rfam family "Bacterial small subunit ribosomal RNA", at positions 30 to 507 of the family's 1533-position model. The record is from RNAcentral.
AUUGAACGCUGGCGGCAUGCCUUACACAUGCAAGUCGAACGGCAGCACGGGUGCUUGCACCUGGUGGCGAGUGGCGAACGGGUGAGUAAUACAUCGGAACAUGUCCUGUAGUGGGGGAUAGCCCGGCGAAAGCCGGAUUAAUACCGCAUACGAUCUACGGAUGAAAGCGGGGGACCUUCGGGCCUCGCGCUAUCGGGUUGGCCGAUGGCUGAUUAGCUAGUUGGUGGGGUAAAGGCCUACCAAGGCGACGAUCAGUAGCUGGUCUGAGAGGACGACCAGCCACACUGGGACUGAGACACGGCCCAGACUCCUACGGGAGGCAGCAGUGGGGAAUUUUGGACAAUGGGCGAAAGCCUGAUCCAGCAAUGCCGCGUGUGUGAAGAAGGCCUUCGGGUUGUAAAGCACUUUUGUCCGGAAAGAAAUCCUUGGCCCUAAUACGGUCGGGGGAUGACGGUACCGGAAGAAUAAGCACCGGCUGACUACGUG